UUGCCAGACUCCUACGGGAGGCAGCAGUGAGGAAUAUUGGUCAAUGGGCGGGAGCCUGAACCAGCCAUGCCGCGUGAAGGCGAGUGCCCUACGGGCGUUAAACUUCUUUUGUGCGGGAGCAAUAAGGGCCACGCGUGGCCCGAUGAGAGUACCGCACGAAUAAGCAUCGGCUAACCCCGUGCCAGCAGCCGCGGUAAUACGGGGGAUGCGAGCGUUAUCCGGAUUUAUUGGGUUUAAAGGGUGCGUAGGCGGGCUUUUAAGUCAGCGGUAAAAAUUCGGGGCUCAACCCCGUCCGGCCGUUGAAACUGGGGGCCUUGAGUGGGCGAGAAGAAGGCGGAAUGCGUGGUGUAGCGGUGAAAUGCAUAGAUAUCACGCAGAACUCCGAUUGCGAAGGCAGCAUACCGGCGCCCAACUGACGCUGAAGCACGAAAGCGUGGGUAUCGAACAGGAUUAGAUACCCCCGUA
RNAcentral lists this ribosomal RNA (465 nucleotides) under uncultured bacterium. Its description in RNAcentral is "bacterial SSU rRNA". It matches the Rfam family "Bacterial small subunit ribosomal RNA", at positions 328 to 792 of the family's 1533-position model. The record is from RNAcentral.